GGAGAUGAGGGACCUGCGCCAAUGAUAAGUUUCACUACUUAAUAAACAGACAACUCACAAAAACGUUAGGUAGACCAACUCAAACUUUACUGAUCAUUGGCCGAUGGAAGUGACGAGGAUACUCCAGUCAAG
This is a long non-coding RNA of Amblyraja radiata (thorny skate), 132 nucleotides long. RefSeq lists it as uncharacterized. Lineage: Eukaryota; Metazoa; Chordata; Chondrichthyes; Rajiformes; Rajidae. The record is from RefSeq and is a predicted model, not a curated record. The transcript is spliced from 3 exons.